Long non-coding RNA from Neodiprion virginianus, 893 nucleotides. RefSeq lists it as uncharacterized. The record is from RefSeq and is a predicted model, not a curated record. NCBI's taxonomy places the organism in Eukaryota, Metazoa, Arthropoda, Insecta, Hymenoptera, Diprionidae. The transcript has 3 exons.
GUCAUAUGACAACCUUAUUGUUAGCGUAGUUUGUGCAAGUUAAUUACAAACGGAGGAAAAAAGAAAAGUCGACGGUGCUGGUGGACAACGUAGUUAUAUAUUAAAAAGAAAUCGGCAAAAAAAAAAUGCAACUGACACCGUGUUGCUAAAUUACUUGCCACAAUCAGAAGAUGCAGUUGGAUUUACAAACUUCACUAAGGACGUUGGCACAAGAUUUUAGUAUCAUAUAAAAUAUCAUUUGACAAAUAGUCCCGACUGAUGAACGAUUGGCAAUAACUUUACGUUUUUUUGGAACUAACAAUUCCUUUACUUGACAAUAUCUUUUUAAAGUAUUGAAAUAACUUGUACUUGAAACAGUUUCAAGAUUACACCAAGUCAUUGCGUUGAUUUUUUCUGCUUACUGCUGCAUUUCAACUGUAUAUCGGGGAAAAUUGCUGUGAAUGACAGGAGCAUAGUCACAGUCCGACAUCUCGAUAAGAUCACCCGCAUUACGAACGCUUCCCCAGUUUCUUGCUCGCGCACAUCUCCCGCACUGACUCAACGUCAAAGCCCAAAUUACUAGCAUGCGAACCUCUCAAUAAAUGCGCUCAGCCUGUGAGAGCCUGUGAGUCAGGAGCACACGUAUGGUGGAGGUAUUGGAAUUCGUGAAAAACUCUACACCUCAGGGGCUUUGGCGUUCUUAUUAAGAGGUUGGAUUGUACGGUUUACAUGAAUAAGUAUGUCGUCCAAUCCAGAAGCUGGAAUGCAAAUUCUUGCCACUUUUGAUAAUACUAAAAAUUUCUCAAACUAUCGAUGAACAACAAUACUCAGUGGAAACUAUUUUCUCAAUUGAAAAUCCCAGUUCAGUACUGUCUUAAUGACUGCAGUGGAUGCUGAUUACAAUUUCAUGUUCG